Long non-coding RNA from Eublepharis macularius, 1726 nucleotides. RefSeq lists it as uncharacterized. The transcript has 4 exons. The record is from RefSeq and is a predicted model, not a curated record. NCBI's taxonomy places the organism in Eukaryota, Metazoa, Chordata, Lepidosauria, Squamata, Eublepharidae.
AGCACACCUGGGUUCAUUUGAGCAGAGUCAAGAAUGUUCCAUGUUUUCUAGUUGCAGAAAACCCACCAGUGAUGGAAGAGGGGAUUUAUUUUUUCUUGUUCUUCUGUGUUCUGAUUUGUGUUUUGCUAGUUAAUUCCUGGAGACUUCUGGGAUCUAUUGCUGAACACGCCCUCCAAUUUUCUGUAUUUAAGACAUACGCCAUUCAUAGCUCUUAAUUGUGUGAAGAAGAAAACCAGUAUGGUGGUGAAUAGUGUUGAACCGGGAUCUGGAAGACCUGCAUUCGAAUCCCUGCUUGGCUAUGAGGCUUGCUGGGUGCCCUUGGGCUGCUCACACUCUUUCAACUCAACCUAACCCACAGGGAUGUUGUGAGGAUACAGUGGGGAAGAGAGAAUUGUGUUCACCACUCUGAGCUCCUUGGAGGAACCUAUGCGGAAGAGUCCGGCUCUGCAGUUGGCUUUUAAGGGAAAAAAUAAUCGCCGCAAAUCAGGUCUGAGCAAGUGACAGAAAAUGCUGGAAUGCAGUAGGUCGAUCGGGACAUUAUCUAGAUUGCCUGUAAAAAUGAGUGAAUGAAACAUGGCAAUUCCCAGAGAAAACAUCUAGCAUUGAACUGGAUAUUGACUGCUGCAGCACUCUGAAAAACAGCCCAUGUAUUAAGCCAGAAACUCCCAUGUAGCUGACUAUUCUCUGAGAGUAUGAAUGUCCACAACCUAGAAAGUCUAUGGAAAACAAAAAGCUGGAAAGAGGAGGUCCGACUGGUCUCGGCAGCUCCUCUCGUCGCCACAAAAGAAAGGACCGCAGCUGCUGUUCAACCCCUGCUGUAUGACAGACUGGUGCAUCUAUUCCAACCGGGAGAUUGGGUGCUCGUGAAGUCGUGGAAAAAGGAGCCGCUGAUGCCCCAGUGGAAAGAACCAGUCCAGGUGCUGCUCACCUCUGACAGUGCGGUUAAAACGACCGCAGCUGAUGGCUGGAUUCAUCACACCAGAGUGUAACCUGCAAACCCACCAGGCGAUACAGAGGACUCAGCAGGAGACAACCCUCGAGACACCACAACAGCGGCAGCAGACAGCAGUGGCCCUCAAGCACGUGAACCAUCACAAGAACCUCCAGCAGCAGUAAUGCCACCACCAGAGAGGGAUUGGAGGACAAUCCUGUGCCUCCGACCCUGUACAGCAAGGACCUGACUCCACCCCAGGGGAACCAAACUCACAAGGAAAAAAUAUAUCCUGAAUGACCCAACAAGGGGCCAGCUAGUUUUAUGCUCGUUUCAUGCACUGACUUCUUCAGGGGUCAUACACCUGAUUCACCACACAACAUGAACACUUGUAUUUUCUCGUGUGUCUAUGUGUCAGUGCACCGCAAAUCUUGGCCAUGCUAUACUGACUGGCAGUUGCUGUCCAGGAUUAUCCCUACCAGAUCAUUCCUUUAAUCAUCCGUACUGGAGUUCUUUGAUGUAUACGGUCUUAUGCAAUAACUAUAAAUAACAAAAAUAUUUAUGAUAUAUGUAUUAUUCAGCAUGAGCACUUUAUUGUAACUUAAUCGUCAGGCAUAUUACAAUUAGAACUGGCAACCUAGUGCAAUAAUUAUGUUCAUCUGUUGAGUAUACUGUUGGCACAAGCACUUUAAGAAAGAAAGUAAUGUAAGGAAACAUUAUUCUGCUAUCAUUACUAAGAGUAUACAAUCUGAAUGUGUUAUAUGAUUCAAAAAAGGACUGUUCUGUGAUAGCCAA